RNAcentral lists this ribosomal RNA (494 nucleotides) under uncultured bacterium. RNAcentral describes it as "partial 16S ribosomal RNA". It matches the Rfam family "Bacterial small subunit ribosomal RNA", at positions 28 to 507 of the family's 1533-position model. The record is from RNAcentral.
GACGAACGCUGGCGGCGUGCUUAACACAUGCAGGUCGAACGGAAAGGCCUGCUUUCCCUUGUGGAUUGCGGGUGCUCGCGUGGCGAACGGGUGAGUAACACGUGAGUGAUCUGCCCCCAACUUGGGUAUAAGCCUGGGAAACUGGGUCUAAUUCCCGAUAGGACUGCAGGGUGGUGCCUGUGGUGGAAAACGAUUUUCUAGUGGUUGGGGAUGAGCUCGCGGCCUAUCAGCUUGUUGGUGGGGUAAUGGCCUACCAAGGCGGCGACGGGUAGCCGGCCUGAGAGGGUGGACGGCCACAUUGGGACUGAGAUACGGCCCAGACUCCUACGGGAGGCAGCAGUGGGGAAUAUGACACAAUGGGCGGAAGCCUGAUGCAGCGACGCCGCGUGGGGGAUGACGGCCUUCGGGUUGUAAACUCCUUUCGACCGCGAGGAAGCCACCUGGUUGGAAGGGUGGUGACGGUAGUGGUAGAAGAAGCACCGGCUAACUACGUG